Anneissia japonica is the source of this 1227-nucleotide long non-coding RNA. RefSeq lists it as uncharacterized. NCBI's taxonomy places the organism in Eukaryota, Metazoa, Echinodermata, Crinoidea, Comatulida, Comatulidae. The transcript is spliced from 3 exons. The record is from RefSeq and is a predicted model, not a curated record.
UUGAUCGGACCGUUGUUUUGUUGGCUGUAAUAAAGCUUUGUUGUACACUACUGCUAGUGUGUCCGAUUGUAGUCUUUGUACUGUGGUUGUUUCUUUUCCCCACUGGCGCUGCACACGUUAUUUUGACAGUAUGCAGUUCGUUAUUUUGUGUAUUGCUGAAGUGAAGUUAUGGAAGUUUUGGUGGCCAGUAAUAGUCUGAAGUUACAGAAUUUUUGGUGGCCAUUAUUAGUCUGUAGUUAACAGAAGUUUGUUGGAGCGUCCAAUAGUCUGUAGGUUCAGAAGUGUUGUUGGAGCGUGCAAUAGUCGUAGUUUACAGACUGGUGCAUUAAGCAGACUCUAGCUUGAGGGUUUUGUUUCGUAUAGUUCGCUUUGGUUUAUGUGCAAAUAAAGCGUUGAAUGCUACACACAGAUGUCUUUUGAUUGAUUACCAACCGAGUCUAAACUACUCAAGGAAUAUUGUACCUCCCUUUUCAAUAUCUUUCUAAAGUCGAACCACGACAAACUGCUGCGAGCAGAGUACAAGAGGCAUCGUGCAUCUAUUUGUGGAACUUCUACGCGUCAGUACAAGACUUUAGUGAUAUUAUCAGCCCUUGAGUUGGAGAUGAUAUCAUGGACAGAUAAGAACUUUACAUUUGAUUCAUUUUGUUGUAUUACUGAAUGAAUAGAGAAGAUAAUGUGAAUUGUUAUUAUGUUGAAGGUAAUAGCAUUUCUAUUUGGAUAAUAAUGUUAUAAUGUUAUUGGGUAAUCACUUUAUUAUGAAUAGGCCUGUUACUCUUGGUGAGCUCUGAAUCGUUGCCUUGAUGUGACUGUAAUGAGUGAAAUUGAUAAUUAUUAAUUGUUUAAUUCUCACGGUACGGUUUAUCGAUAUCUUAUUUAACUGUUUGUAAUCAGAAUUGCAUGUAUAGGUCCAUUUGUUAUAUUGCGAUAUGCCUAAAUCUGAGAAACUUGCUUUGGUUUUGGUGGCAUGAUUGCUGCGUUCACUGAUGUGUUAAAAGGUGUGAAUGUUAAGUCCCACCUCCUAUUAAAAUUUCUAAAUUUAAGGUCACCCUAAAGCCACUGGAGAUAUUACAUUGUGUGAGUGGCUUGAGGAUUUUGAGACUUGCUGUGCGCAUUAUCAGUUGGAUGGAGAUGUAAAGUAUGAUGCCAUGGUUAGUCAUUUGGGGGGAUCUGCUAAAGAUGAAGUGCAUUAUCAAAUGUCUGUAUUAGAUUUUGGAAAAAGAUGUGAAG